AACUGCUUUCCUGGUUUUGUUUGUCGUCAUGCCUAUGUGGAUGAGCAGUGAACAACUGGGAUGACAGACAGAGAUCCACCAUGUCCAUGCACCAUUUACAUAACUGCUUUCUGAAAGUUUCCCUGUAACAUCAUUUGCUGAACUUGAGAAUUGAAAUUUUAGUAAGUGCAUGGAUGUGGAAACAAAAUUGUCAAGAAAUUUAUAUUGUAAUUAGUUAAGAAGUUAUAAUGAAAAGGAUUGAGUACUUGAAAGCAAAUUUUGCAUGGGGAUUAUUUAUUUAUUUUUAAGAAUUCUUGAAGCCAUGGCAUUUCAUGUUUUCUCUCACAUCCAUGUGCUUUCAUUUGUAUUUAUGAGUAAUGAUAAAACUUGGAUGCAAAUAAAGGUUUCUUUCUUUUCUGAAUGUUGAUAAAUAGGGUAAGAAAAAUAUGCUAUGGG
RNAcentral lists this unclassified non-coding RNA (435 nucleotides) under Hevea brasiliensis (rubber tree). The record is from RNAcentral. Lineage: Eukaryota; Viridiplantae; Streptophyta; Magnoliopsida; Malpighiales; Euphorbiaceae.